RNAcentral lists this ribosomal RNA (385 nucleotides) under uncultured bacterium. RNAcentral's name for it is "bacterial SSU rRNA". It matches the Rfam family "Bacterial small subunit ribosomal RNA", at positions 28 to 417 of the family's 1533-position model. The record is from RNAcentral.
GACGAACGCUGGCGGCGUGCUUAACACAUGCAAGUCGAGCGGUAAGGCCCUUCGGGGUACACGAGCGGCGAACGGGUGAGUAACACGUGGGUGACCUGCCUCUAGCUCUGGGAUAAGCCUGGGAAACUGGGUCUAAUACCGGAUAUGACUCCACGGCGCAUGUUGUGGGGUGGAAAGCCUUGUGUGGCUAGAGAUGGGCCCGCGGCCUAUCAGCUUGUUGGUGGGGUGAUGGCCUACCAAGGCGACGACGGUAGCCGGCCUGAGAGGGCGACCGGCCACACUGGGACUGAGACACGGCCCAGACUCCUACGGGAGGCAGCAGUGGGGAAUCUUGCGCAAUGGGCGAAAGCCUGACGCAGCGACGCCGCGUGAGGGAUGACGGCCU